GACGGAGGGGGCAAGCGUUGUCCGGACUCACUGGGCGUAAAGGGCGCGUAGGCGGUUAGAUAAGUCAGAUGUGAAAUUCCGGGGCUCAACCCCGGAGCUGCAUUUGAAACUAUUUUGGCUAGAGGGUAGUUAGGGAAAACGGAAUUCCACGUGUAGCGGUGAAAUGCGUAGAUAUGUGGAAGAACACCAGUGGUGAAGACGGUUUUCUGGGCUAUUCCUGACGCUGAGGCGCGAAAGCUAGGGGAGCAAACAGG
This 254-nucleotide ribosomal RNA is filed under the name uncultured bacterium. RNAcentral describes it as "partial 16S ribosomal RNA". It matches the Rfam family "Bacterial small subunit ribosomal RNA", at positions 524 to 776 of the family's 1533-position model. The record is from RNAcentral.